Molecule: ribosomal RNA, 655 nt
Filed under: Salmonella enterica subsp. enterica serovar Infantis
Lineage: Bacteria; Pseudomonadati; Pseudomonadota; Gammaproteobacteria; Enterobacterales; Enterobacteriaceae
Also listed under: 1 other name
Description: partial 16S ribosomal RNA
Rfam family: Bacterial small subunit ribosomal RNA
Source: RNAcentral
UUAAGUAGACCGCCUGGGGAGUACGGCCGCAAGGUUAAAACUCAAAUGAAUUGACGGGGGCCCGCACAAGCGGUGGAGCAUGUGGUUUAAUUCGAUGCAACGCGAAGAACCUUACCUGGUCUUGACAUCCACAGAAGAAUCCAGAGAUGGAUUUGUGCCUUCGGGAACUGUGAGACAGGUGCUGCAUGGCUGUCGUCAGCUCGUGUUGUGAAAUGUUGGGUUAAGUCCCGCAACGAGCGCAACCCUUAUCCUUUGUUGCCAGCGGUCCGGCCGGGAACUCAAAGGAGACUGCCAGUGAUAAACUGGAGGAAGGUGGGGAUGACGUCAAGUCAUCAUGGCCCUUACGAUCAGGGCUACACACGUGCUACAAUGGCGCAUACAAAGAGAAGCGACCUCGCGAGAGCAAGCGGACCUCAUAAAGUGCGUCGUAGUCCGGAUUGGAGUCUGCAACUCGACUCCAUGAAGUCGGAAUCGCUAGUAAUCGUGGAUCAGAAUGCCACGGUGAAUACGUUCCCGGGCCUUGUACACACCGCCCGUCACACCAUGGGAGUGGGUUGCAAAAGAAGUAGGUAGCUUAACCUUCGGGAGGGCGCUUACCACUUUGUGAUUCAUGACUGGGGUGAAGUCGUAACAAGGUAACCGUAGGGGAACCUGC